AUGUUAGGAGUUGAUGAGGCAUCUGAUGGUAGAUUAUUCAUGAUAAUCUCUUCCAGGUGGGCUUAUUGGGACAUCCAGAAUGUAUCACUGUGGUGGACUUUUGGUGGAGGAACUAAACUCAUUGUGAAAACUGGUUCCACAGUGAAGCCCUCUGUGUCUCUGCUCCCUCCCUCCUCUCUGCAGCUGUCUGAGGGUUCAGCCUCACUGCUCUGCCUGCUGUCUGGAUACUCUCCACAGGGGGCGCUGGUCAGCUGGACAGUGGACGGCUCAGAGGUGAAGGAGGGGGUUCUGACCAGUGUAGAAGAAGAGAAGAAUGGCCGCUAUAGCCGCAGCAGCACCCUGACCCUCAGCAAAGCACUUUGGGAAAAGGGGGAGGAGUUUGGCUGUAUGGUCUCCCAUGACAACGUCAAUCAGCCAAUCACGUUCACAAAGAGCCACUGUGAAAAUUAGCAGCUCCAAGAUAGAGCUGAACAUAGAGCUGCUUCCACAUCAUCUACAGUAAAGUUUAAACUCUACACAGUGCUGAUGUUCCUGUCUUUACUCUGUUCUCUGUCCUGUUGCUGUUCCUGUGGUUCUGCUGAGCUGAAAUAAAGCUGAAUCUAGAACAUCGUCUGUUCUUUUACUCUGUUUAAUGGUCAGUGUUGUGAGAGAGUAUCUGUAGCUGUAGAUUCAGUGCAGAGC
Colossoma macropomum (tambaqui) is the source of this 681-nucleotide non-coding RNA. The record is from the annotation of a RefSeq genome assembly. NCBI's taxonomy places the organism in Eukaryota, Metazoa, Chordata, Actinopteri, Characiformes, Serrasalmidae.